AAAAAAAAGAGUGUUCAUGUAGUUGCAUCACAUUUAGGAUCGAGUCUAGAGUGUUUCAUUUAGGAUUGUUGCAUAUGCAUAGGGGAUGAUGAUGAGAUAGUCUUGUAAGCAUUUUGAUUCACCGGAUAAACUCAGUGCCCUCGUUGCUAGUUGUCUGUUGAAUAGUCAAUGAAUUU
Molecule: small RNA, 176 nt
Filed under: Arabidopsis thaliana (thale cress)
Lineage: Eukaryota; Viridiplantae; Streptophyta; Magnoliopsida; Brassicales; Brassicaceae
Description: ATSL206980
Source: RNAcentral